GUGGGGAAUAUUGGACAAUGGGCGCAAGCCUGAUCCAGCCAUGCCGCGUGAGUGAUGAAGGCCUUAGGGUUGUAAAGCUCUUUCAGUGGGGACGAUAAUGACGGUACCCACAGAAGAAGCCCCGGCUAACUUCGUGCCAGCAGCCGCGGUAAUACGAAGGGGGCUAGCGUUGUUCGGAUUUACUGGGCGUAAAGCGCACGUAGGCGGAUCGUUAAGUCGGGGGUGAAAUCCUGGAGCUCAACUCCAGAACUGCCUUCGAUACUGGCGAUCUUGAGUCCGGAAGAGGUGAGUGGAACUCCUAGUGUAGAGGUGGAAUUCGUAGAUAUUAGGAAGAACACCAGUGGCGAAGGCGGCUCACUGGUCCGGUACUGACGCUGAGGUGCGAAAGCGUGGGGAGCAAACAGGAUUAGAUACCCCAGUAGUCC
RNAcentral lists this ribosomal RNA (425 nucleotides) under uncultured bacterium. Its description in RNAcentral is "bacterial SSU rRNA". It matches the Rfam family "Bacterial small subunit ribosomal RNA", at positions 354 to 796 of the family's 1533-position model. The record is from RNAcentral.